This 311-nucleotide unclassified non-coding RNA is filed under the name uncultured Mycena. RNAcentral's name for it is "partial contains 5.8S ribosomal RNA, internal transcribed spacer 2, and large subunit ribosomal RNA". The stretch from base 1 to 52 matches the Rfam family "5.8S ribosomal RNA", at positions 103 to 154 of the family's 154-position model. Lineage: Eukaryota; Fungi; Basidiomycota; Agaricomycetes; Agaricales; Tricholomataceae. The record is from RNAcentral.
AACGCACCUUGCGCCCUUUGGUAUUCCGAAGGGCAUGCCUGUUUGAGUGUCAUUAAAUUCUCAACCUUGAACCAGUUUUUGUGACUGGGCCAAGGCUUGGAUGUGAGGGCUUUGCUGGCUUCCUUCAGUGGAUGGUCUGCUCCCUUUAAAUGCAUUAGUGGGAUCCUUUGUGGACGGUCACUUGGUGUGAUAAUUAUCUACGCCGCGUUGACUGUGAAGCAAAACUUAUGGGACCCUGCUUAUAACCGUCCUUCGGGACAAUUUAUUGACCAUUUGACCUCAAAUCAGGUAGGACUACCCGCUGAACCUAA